Long non-coding RNA from Gopherus evgoodei (Goodes thornscrub tortoise), 922 nucleotides. RefSeq lists it as uncharacterized. The transcript is spliced from 3 exons. The record is from RefSeq and is a predicted model, not a curated record. NCBI's taxonomy places the organism in Eukaryota, Metazoa, Chordata, Testudines, Testudinidae.
UGUUGCUGGUGCUGGGUUCAAACCCUGAAGCCACAAUGCGUGAUAGAAGGGAAGUGACUGAGGCUGGGGUGUGUGUGAACACUGCAGGCCUCACAGAACCUUUUUCUCUAACUGGAAUCAGGCCUUUCUCUCUGUCUCUGGGCCUCCCACCCCUGAGAUCCGGGCUGUUGAAUUUGGGACAUGCGUGAGAGCCGAGGAAGUACAGGCAGUCCUUGGACAUACGACAUGAUUGGUUCCUGAAAAUUGCGCCAUAGGUCAAAAUGUCAUAACUCAGAACCGCAAUCCACUCCAUAGUGUGACUGAGCAUCAUAAAGUCGAAACCAACGGCAUAAGUUGAAUCAGGGUGUCAGUACAGAAACUUGUAAGUUGUGUUUGUCGUAAGUUGAACAUCGUAAAGUCAAGGACUGCCUGUAGAUGGAUCCUCUGCGUAGGGGGAGGUGCUUGUCCUGACCUUCUCCACAAUGUUUACCAGAGAUGUGCAGCGGCCCUGGGAGCAGGAGGAUAAGGAGAUGAAAAGCCACUGCUUCUUCCAGAGAGAGUUGCCAUACUACCUGAGGCAUCAUCAGAGCUCAGAACCCAGUGACAAUCCCUAGUGCCUUUUAGUGUGCCAGGAAGAUCAACAGACUCCAUCUUUGCUGGACCUAGGAGGAGGGAAAGUACUAUAUACAAGAGCCCCUGCUUGAAAAUGCCAAGCCAGCGGCCCAGCUAAGCCAGGGGAAUAAUAGGUGGAAGAUCUCCGCAGCUGAGAUAUCAGGAAUAGAAAGAUAACCAGGAUCCCAUCUGUAUAUGACUUUAGAGAUUAUUUAAUUUGCCACAGUCGUAUCGCUUGUCUUUUAUUGCCAUAGCUUCCACGCUUUGCACAACAAUGUAUAACAUUCAGCUUUCCGUGGCAUUAAAGUGUGUUUCCUUUCUAUUGAGAACA